UGGGGAAUAUUGCACAAUGGGCGCAAGCCUGAUGCAGCCAUGCCGCGUGUAUGAAGAAGGCCUUCGGGUUGUAAAGUACUUUCAGCGGGGAGGAAGGCGAUAAGGUUAAUAACCUUGUCGAUUGACGUUACCCGCAGAAGAAGCACCGGCUAACUCCGUGCCAGCAGCCGCGGUAAUACGGAGGGGGCAAGCGUUAAUAGGAAUUACUGGGCGUAAAGCGCACGCAGGCGGUCUGUCAAGUCGGAUGUGAAAUCCCCGGGCUCAACCUGGGAACUGCAUUCGAAACUGGCAGGCUAGAGUCUUGUAGAGGGGGGUAGAAUUCCAGGUGUAGCGGUGAAAUGCGUAGAGAUCUGGAGGAAUACCGGUGGCGAAGGCGGCCCCCUGGACAAAGACUGACGCUCAGGUGCGAAAGCGUGGGGAGCAAACA
Molecule: ribosomal RNA, 427 nt
Filed under: uncultured bacterium
Lineage: Bacteria
Description: partial 16S ribosomal RNA
Rfam family: Bacterial small subunit ribosomal RNA
Source: RNAcentral